Molecule: ribosomal RNA, 237 nt
Filed under: uncultured Staphylococcus sp.
Lineage: Bacteria; Bacillati; Bacillota; Bacilli; Caryophanales; Staphylococcaceae
Description: partial 16S ribosomal RNA
Rfam family: Bacterial small subunit ribosomal RNA
Source: RNAcentral
CGGGUGAGUAACACGUGGAUAACCUACCUAUAAGACUGGGAUAACUUCGUGAAACCGGAGCUAAUACCGGAUAAUAUUUUGAACCGCAUGGUUCAAAAGUGAAAGACGGUCUUGCUGUCACUUAUAGAUGGAUCCGCGCUGCAUUAGCUAGUUGGUAAGGUAACGGCUUACCAAGGCAACGAUGCAUAGCCGACCUGAGAGGGUGAUCGGCCACACUGUAACUGAGACACGGUCCAG